AGAGUUUGAUCAUGGCUCAGGAUGAACGCUAGCUACAGGCUUAANACAUGCAAGUCGAGGGGAAACGACAUCGAAGCUUGCUUUUGAUGGGCGUCGACCGGCGCACGGGUGAGUAACGCGUAUCCAACCUGCCCACCACUUGGGGAUAACCUUGCGAAAGUAAGACUAAUACCCAAUGAUAUCUCUAGAAGACAUCUGAAAGAGAUUAAAGAUUUAUCGGUGAUGGAUGGGGAUGCGUCUGAUUAGCUUGUUGGCGGGGUAACGGCCCACCAAGGCAACGAUCAGUAGGGGUUCUGAGAGGAAGGUCCCCCACAUUGGAACUGAGACACGGUCCAAACUCCUACGGGAGGGAGCA
This 355-nucleotide ribosomal RNA is filed under the name uncultured bacterium. RNAcentral describes it as "bacterial SSU rRNA". It matches the Rfam family "Bacterial small subunit ribosomal RNA", at positions 8 to 353 of the family's 1533-position model. The record is from RNAcentral.